Molecule: ribosomal RNA, 501 nt
Filed under: uncultured bacterium
Lineage: Bacteria
Description: partial 16S ribosomal RNA
Rfam family: Bacterial small subunit ribosomal RNA
Source: RNAcentral
ACUCAAAGGAAUUGACGGGGACCCGCACAAGCGGUGGAGCAUGUGGAUUAAUUCGAUACUAACCGAAGAACCUUACCCAGACUUGACAUCGAUCGUAAGCCUUAGAAAUAGGGCCCUCUCUCACAAGGAGACGUGAAGACACUUGUUGCAUGGCUGUCGUCAGCUCGUGCCGUGAGGUGUUAGGUUAAGUCCUUCAACGAGCGCAACCCUCGUCCUGUGUUACCAGCAUGAAAGAUGGGGACUCACAGGAGACCGCCGGUGUAAGCCGGAGGAAGGUGGGGAUGACGUCAAGUCAGCAUGGCAGUUACGUCUGGGGCUUCACACAUGCUACAAUGGACGAAACAAAGGGCUGCGAUACCGCGAGGUGGAGCCAAUCCCAAAAAUACGUCCUCAGUUCAGAUUGCAGUCUGCAACUCGACUGCAUGAAGUCGGAAUCGCUAGUAAACGCAGGUCAGCUAUACUGCGUUGAAUACGUUCCCGGGUCUUGUACACACCGCCCGU